GCUGCGGUUUAGUUCGUUGUGCAACGUGAGAUUUGUCUGCGUUGUCGGGAACAAAUUUCCGGAGAAUUCCGUCCAGAAUCGAUUGAAAUUAUUGAAAUUCCAGAUCAACGAAUGGUUUACCAGAUCUUGCAGCUCGAAAAGCUCGUUGGUUCGUUGGAGGAUUUACGGCAUAUUCAAUGCAACUGCAAAGGCGGGCCGCAGGCCGCGGGCUAGUGGAGAUCGAAUUUCGGCCGCAACGAAAAGUGCAGAAUGACGAGAUCGAGCCAGGUGUUCCAAAAUGACAAGGCCGGGUGUGCAAAACGACAAGGCCCCCGACGGCACCGUUUGCGAGAGCUGAAAGCUUCCAGAAGUGUUUUUUUUUGUGCCACGUGAUAAAUAAGUGUGUGAUGAUCAUGUUUGUGUAGUGAAUAAAACAGUUUUUGACCAAAUUAA
Molecule: long non-coding RNA, 432 nt
Organism: Culex quinquefasciatus (southern house mosquito)
Lineage: Eukaryota; Metazoa; Arthropoda; Insecta; Diptera; Culicidae
Exons: 2
Source: RefSeq, a predicted model, not a curated record